Molecule: non-coding RNA, 1016 nt
Filed under: Trichomonas vaginalis G3
Lineage: Eukaryota; Parabasalia; Trichomonadida; Trichomonadidae
Description: Eukaryotic large subunit ribosomal RNA
Rfam family: Eukaryotic large subunit ribosomal RNA
Source: Rfam by way of RNAcentral
ACAAGUAGUGUGAACGAAAGAUGAAAAGAACUCUAAAACAGAGGGUGAAAAGUUCCUGAACUUGCUUAGGGUUAAGGCUAUUUAUAGUACCCGUCUUGAAACACGGAUUAGGGAGUUUAUCUGUAGUGCGAGUCUUUGCACGUUAACUGUAAAGGCGUAGAGAAAGCAACUGGCGUUUGCAUGGCUACUGAGCAUUACUGAUAGGACCCGAAAGGUGGUGAACUUUGCCUGCACAGGUUGAAGUCAGGGGAAACUCUGAUGGAGGACCGUACGGGUUAUUGAUGUGCAAAUCAUUUUUCUGAUGUAGGUAAAGGUGCGAAAGACUCAUCGAACCACCUAAUAGCUGGUUUCCUCCGAAGUUUCCCUCAGGAUAGCUGUAAUGCAUUUAGUUAAGGGGAGUAGAGAUAUGGGUAGAGGUGCAGGGAGCCUUCGGGUUCUCAACUUAUUUCCAAACUUCGAACCUCCUUGUUAGGCAUUUACCUAACUGGAAAUGCUUAAAUGAAUUAGCGUUACAAGUGGGCUCUGACCGGUAAGCGGUCAUGGCGAAAUGGGAUGAACCAUACGUCUGAAUAAGGUGCCGAAAUGUACUAUCACUGAUACCAUAAAGGGAGUCCAUGUAUUUAGACAGCAGGUCGGUGCCCCUAAAAGCAGGUAUCCGCUAAAGAGUGUGUUAAAACUCACCUGCCGAAUACUAGGGCCCCGAAAAUGAAUGGCGCAUAUAGUACUACCGAUCUCAGACAUCAGUUCUAUUGAACUGAGAGUAGGGGGAUGUGGACAUUUUUGUGAAGGUGCAAUGUGAGUUGGACUGGAAGAAUGUCUAUUACAGAUCCUAAUUGAAGUAGCGAUUAUCCAGGCUUGUAUCCUGGGGGCUGAUGAGGAGUAUGGUUUCUGGACAACUUAAACAGAUCCAGAGUUAGUCGAUCCUAAUCUCAAUAAUGGGAGAAAGGGAGUACAGUUGAUAUUCUGUAACUGACAACAGUUCGCGGCAACGCAUACUAUUUUUCUCGCAUCUAUAC